RNAcentral lists this unclassified non-coding RNA (3592 nucleotides) under Rhagoletis pomonella (apple maggot). RNAcentral's name for it is "serine/threonine-protein kinase PRP4 homolog, transcript variant X2". Lineage: Eukaryota; Metazoa; Arthropoda; Insecta; Diptera; Tephritidae. The record is from RNAcentral.
UGGAGGUAGGUUCACUAUAACAAAACCCAAUGUUCAAACAGACCCGGGUAGUCUGGUGGAGGAAAUAACCAAAACCAUAAAAAAUAAUUUAGUGCCCUCUAUGGAAAUUGCAUCAUCUGGAAGCGAAAGUGAAGUUCCCAUUGAUGUUGCUAGUCCAGACGUUGCCAUCAUAGAGGAUGAACUCAAUCUCGAGGAGUUAAUGAAGCAAAAGGCUUUACUUCAGGCUCGAUUGGGUGCAUAUUUAUCCGAGUCCGAUGGUGAAGACAGCGUUUCCAAUAAAAUACCAAUUGUAAACCUUCAUUGCGAAACGGUAAAAGUCACUGCUUAUGAGGAUAAAUCCAGAGGUGGAACUGACAACUCAGCUAAAAAGCGUUCGUUGUCAUCAUCUUCGUCAAUCAGUAAAAAUGUUAUUAGUAAAAUAAGUAAAAAACAGAUUUCAAAUGAACCCGAUGUUAUAUUAUUGGAUGAUUCUAGCGGUGGAAACCGAACUCCUGAAUUGAAGCGAAAAACAACGCGUAUAUCACACAGAUCAAAAGAUGAGCGCCUACCAUCACCGCAGAGAAAGUCAUCGGCAGAGCAUUACCACCACCAUCAUCGUCAUUCAGCACCGGAAGCGCAACAUACACGUAGACACAGUUCCCGAGAUCAGCACACAAAUCUUUCCAAGCGUAGUACUAGCCGUAGUCGAUCGCAACGACGAGAUUCAGAGGCCAACAGCCUUCGAAGUCGCGACGAUAGUCACAAUCGAGGUAGGCAGCGACGAGGAUUGCAUGAUCAAAACCGUCAAAAAGAAGAUCUUCGUUUGGAAAUAAAUCGAGAUAAGGAACGCGAGAGAGAAAAUAGUCGCGAUCGUGAUCGACGUUCGCGAGAGGACCGAUUGAGGCCGCAAGAUCGUAGUAGGGUUGGCUCUUUUGGUAACUCUCGCGGAAGAGAACGGGAACGUGAUCGUGACCGUGAUCGAGACCGCCGGAUGCGUUCACAUAGCCGAAGUAAAGUAGAAUCGGAUCGGCGUCGGAUAGAGCGAGAACGUCAGCGCACUGGAAAAAACGAAAGAGAUGGAUGGCGAGGAGAAGAGCGUGGGCGCGAUCGUGAAAAGGACCGCUACCGGGGCUCAUUAAGCGAAGGGCAAAAAGCUGAAAUAAGAGAAUCGAGCAGCGAAGAUGAUGGUCAUUUGGAUAUUGACAUCAACGAAGACGAAGACGAAGAAGAAAAAAUAAUUGAAAUGCGUCGAAAGCAACGUGAAGAACUAUUAAAAAAACUAGGAGGAAAAACAGAAUCAUCUUCACCAAGCAAAUCCUCGCAACCUAGAAGAGAACGAAUCCCUUCUCCAGAAGAACCGAGAAUCCAAGACAUCGCGCCUUUGCCGAAUAAUACCCAACCGAAGUCAUCAAUACAGGUCAGCCGAGAGGAGGAAAAUGACCUCGACGACGAUAAGAAAACUAAAGGUGGUGCCAGGGAAAAGCGACCGGAAUGGGAUAUGUUUGCCGAUCAAGACGUAGACUCGAAUUUCGAUUCUCCUAAUGCAAUAGUGCUGAAUAAAACACAAAAUGAAAAUCCUGCACUGACAGACAACUGGGAUGAUGCGGAAGGAUAUUAUCGUGUACGUAUUGGGGAAAGUCUUGACAACCGUUAUGUUGUGAGUGGAUAUACAGGCCAGGGAGUAUUUAGUAAUGUAGUGAGAGCUCGUGAUCAAGCACGUGGGAAUGCAAAUGUUGCUGUAAAAAUUAUACGCAACAACGAGAUAAUGCAUAAAACGGGACUGCGUGAAUUGGAGAUCUUAAAAAAAUUGAAUGACGCAGAUCCAGAAGAUAGAUUCCAUUGCUUACGACUUUUCAGACAUUUUUUUCAUAAGCAGCAUCUUUGCAUGGUGUUCGAGCCGCUAUCUAUGAACCUUCGGGAAGUGCUUAAAAAGUAUGGUAAAAAUGUUGGCUUACACAUCAAAGCAGUGCGCAGCUAUACGCAACAGCUCUUUCUGGCACUUAAGUUGCUUAAAAAGACCGGCAUACUUCAUGCAGACAUUAAACCCGACAACAUUCUUGUGAAUGAUAAUAAUUUAUGUUUAAAGUUAUGUGAUUUCGGUUCUGCUUCAGCUAUUAACGACAACGAAAUAACACCAUAUUUAAUAUCACGUUUCUAUCGUGCGCCCGAAAUCAUAUUAGGCAUUACUUACGAUUACGGAAUUGAUAUGUGGUCUGCUGGUUGUACAAUCUAUGAGCUAUACACUGGAAAAAUUCUGUUUAGUGGAAAGAGCAAUAACCAAAUGCUGAAAUUCUUCAUGGACUUAAAAGGAAAAAUUCCAAAUCGUAUUAUUCGGAAAGGUCAAUUCAAAGAUCAACACUUUGAUCAGAGCUGCAACUUUCUUUAUCAUGAGAUUGACAAAAUUACGGAAAGGGAAAAAAUCGUGGUUAUGCCUGUAAUUAAACCUACACGAAAUCUACAACAGGAACUUAUUGCUGAUCAGAAUUUACCAGAUGAUCAACACCGAAAAGUAACACAACUUAAGGAUUUAUUGGAUAAUAUAUUUGCGCUGGAUCCAUCGAAAAGAAUUUCUUUGAAUCAAGCAUUAACACAUCCUUUUAUUCAAGAGAAGAUGUAAGCGACCACUUCAUGAAAGUGUGUCCUGUUUUAAAUUGAGUUGAGAAAAUUCGACGCGCCGGCACCAGGCAUAUACACAAUAAUGUCGCUGUGCACCACACGAAAAAGGCGUAGACGUGCUGACGUGCCUCUACCCAUGCUGCGUCCAAUGUGAGAACAGCAUGUUUUUUGUUUAUAGCACUGGUAAUAAUAAUUUGGGUUUGAAGUGUAUUAUACAAUACAGUAAAGUAAAAAGUAAAAUUUCGUAUAAACCUCCAGCUUGGAGCGGCAUGAGAAUCGAUUUGCUGUUGGUAUGGCGACGCAAAUGAUUUUCUAUGCCCUGUGCUUCCAAUGGAGUAAUAAGCGAAACCUAAAAAUUUGUAAUAGGUUAUAUUUAAACUAAGUGUUAAUUGUUUUUCUUUCAGGCGGAUUAUUGCACAGCGACGCUAAAUUGUAAAAAUUAAAUCUGUGUAAAAAUUGUAGAGUAUAUUUGGUUGGCAGUGUAACGGUGAUGUGUUGCUCCGGCUAAGAAACGAAACCAUGGCGUUGGAGACGACGAAAGCUAAGUUUACUCUAUUCUAAACAUUGAUAGACAAACCAAACGUUAUAAGGUAAAUUUGUUGGCUGGAAAAGGCGAUAGUGGAACGGCUUACCCAAAAAAGCAUAUUGAAUAAAAAAAAAACAGCAAUUUAAAGCUUUGGCAUGAAAUGCUAUACAUGCUGAUAUUUAAUAUUAUGCGUUUCGAAAUUUACAGCAUAUGUUAGGAUGUGUUUGAAUUUAGAAAAGCGGCAUAAGUUAUAUGUGCUCCAUGAAAUUGUAUUGCACCAAGCAUUAUUUACGCCAGUCAGCAAUGAUUACGCCAGUAACUACCUUUAAUAAAAGCUGCAUUAACGGUCUAUAAACCCUCUUUAGUAUUGUUCGCAACUACAUUGAGCAGUCCCUAACAGCUGUAAAAAAUGUAAAUAUAAGAGAUAUGUACAUACAUUUAUUUCUGAAGUACUCAAAACAAGAAAUAUUA